GUAUGUAUGUAUGUGUGUAUAUAUAUAUAUAUGUGUGUGUAUGUGUUUGCAUAUAUAUAUAUAUAUGUUUGUAUUUGCAUAUAUAUAUAUGUGUGUGUAUGUGUUUGCAUAUAUAUAUAUAUAUAUGUUUGUAUUUGCAUAUAUAUAUAUGUUUGUGUAUGUGUGUGUAUCCAGUUGAGUAAAAAGUAAGCAACGUUUUGAGCCAUGAAGAAUUUUUAUCAGAUUUUUGCAGAGCUUUGAAUUUUUUUAACAUUUUUUUGGAAAACCAUCUGUCAUUGAUGAUGGUCAAUUAAAGACUGUCAUUGAGAAAGAUCUUGAAUGAAAAUCAAAAGAGGGCCAAUCAAUCUUCAUGACUCGACCACACGUUUCACUAAUGACACUCCAGAAGAUGAGGGAACUUGGCUACGAAGUUCUUCCCCACCCAGCUUAUUCCCCAAACCUUUCUCCUACCAACUAUCACUUUUUCAAACACCUUGAUGGUUUCCUGUGAGAGAAGAAGUUAAAAAAUCAAACUGAUGCUGAAAGUAUGUUCAAAAAGUUCAUCAGCUCCAGAACUCCAGAUUUUUAUGUUACCGGAAUAAACAAACUUGUGACUUGUUGGCAAAAAGUUGUUGAUUGUAAUGGUACUUACUUUGAUAAAUAAAAUUUCCGCAAUGUUGAAAUAUAUAGUGAUGAAUUUCAUAUUUCAAAACGUUGAUUACUUUUUACUCAGCCUGCUAUACGUGUGUGUGUGUGUGUGUGUGUGUGUGCAUGUGUAGUGUGGGUGUGUGUAUAUAUAUAUAUAUUCAUAUUCUUUUAUUAGUUUCAGCCAGUGGAGCAAGUCCAUCCAAGGGCACUGACAUUAAGGGAUUAGUUCAUCAUUUUAACUCAAUUUCACUUGGUGACAAUGCAUGCAAUCCUUCCCUGGGUGAAUUAUUGCAAGCACGCAAUAAGCUAAAACCUACAGUCAACGAGAAUAGGGUUUCUAUUCCUACAGAGUCUGACCCCACCCUCAAACAUCCUGAUGCAGCCAAAAACAAAGAGAAGCCUCAACCAUCACAAAAACCUUCGUUCAUAUCUGAAAUAAAUAACAAAUUUAAAAACAUCCCCUUUCCAGGAAAGGAGUCUUCCCCAGCAAUAAAUCGAAAGAAAAGCUUCGGUUCUGAGCCCACAAAUAAAGGUACCUAGUUAUUUCUUAUACUUUUUCACUGCUGGAAAUGGUAAUAGAAGUGGAUCAGGUAUGUACUUGGUGUUGUAGUCAGUGUUUAUGUUUGUGAACUAUUGAAAACACUCCAUUAGAGGUAUAUACAUAUUAAGAUCAAUGAUUUACUAGAUUUUUGAUAGCUUCACAUGAAGUGAAUUAUAAACAUUACCUAUACUCUUUUACUUGUUUCAGUCAUUUUGACUGCGGCCAUGCUGGGGCACCACCUUUUAGUCGAGCAAAUCAACCCCAGGACUUAUUCUUUGUAAGCCUAGUACUUAUUCUAUCGGUCUCUUUUGCCAAACCGCUAAGUUGCGGGGACGUAAACACACCAGCCUCGGUUGUCAAGCGAAGUUGGGGAGGACAAACACAGACACACAAACAUAUACACACACAUUAUAUAUACACAUAUAUAUGACGGGCUUCUUUCAGUUUCCGUCUACCAAAUCCACUUACAA
Molecule: long non-coding RNA, 1638 nt
Organism: Octopus bimaculoides (California two-spot octopus)
Lineage: Eukaryota; Metazoa; Mollusca; Cephalopoda; Octopoda; Octopodidae
Source: RefSeq, a predicted model, not a curated record